AAUGAGAUUGCUGGGUCAUACAGGAAGUAUGUGCCUACUGUGUAAGAAAUUGCUAAACUGUUUUCUCUAGUGGCUGUUCCAUUUCGCACUCCCACCAGCAAG
RNAcentral lists this microRNA precursor (102 nucleotides) under Marmota monax (woodchuck). Lineage: Eukaryota; Metazoa; Chordata; Mammalia; Rodentia; Sciuridae. The record is from RNAcentral.